This 253-nucleotide ribosomal RNA is filed under the name uncultured bacterium. RNAcentral describes it as "partial 16S ribosomal RNA". It matches the Rfam family "Bacterial small subunit ribosomal RNA", at positions 524 to 776 of the family's 1533-position model. The record is from RNAcentral.
UACAGAGGGUGCAAGCGUUAAUCGGAAUUACUGGGCGUAAAGCGUGUGUAGGUGGUUUGCUAAGUCAGGUGUGAAAUCCCUGGGCUCAACCUAGGAAUUGCAUUUGAUACUGGCGAGCUAGAGUGUGGAAGAGGAUAGUGGAAUUCCCGGUGUAGCGGUGAAAUGCGCAGAUAUCAGGAAGAACGCCCGUGGCGAAGGCGGCUCUCUGGGACGGUACUGACGCUGAGACGCGAAAGCGUGGGGAGCGAACAGG